CUUAAUCGCGCCGGUGUGUCCGCACGCGUUUCUCUGGCAACCCUCGUGUAUUUUUGGUUGAAAUUGUCAGACAUCGAAAUUAGUAAUAAGAAAUUAAUUUCAUCUUUACGCGGUUAUCGACAUUUUUGUUGUAAAUUCGAGGUGCGUUGUGUUACAUCUCUGGAGAAUUGAAUUCGUUCAAUCGCUACAAUCUAGCAUCUACGGUACGUGCUUGCUGCAAACUGCGGAGGACAUCAGUUGGAGUUCGCCAUCGUUUCGCUGCAAUAGCCUUUGAGUUCCAAAGGCCGAGUCACGAGAAUUUGAUUCGCUUAGUCGGUCGACUCCCGAUUUAAAAUAAAAUAAACAUUGACACCCCUUCCCGCAUUUCCUCUUAACAAUGUAAUUUAUUUCACAGAUUUUAUCAUCUUCAGCAUUAGUCCUGAGUGUUGCAACGAGUGAAAUACUGGUAUGUGUUGUUGGAUGAAGCAUUGGCAAAUCCAGAGAUGGCCAAGUUUAUCAAUAAGGGCCGACUGGAGAAGUACCGUGGUACUGGUGCAGUUCAUAUUGAGGUUGAUGUUUUGAUUACUGAAGAUGGAUGUGUCAACUGGAUUAAAGUUCCAAGAACGUUGUCCAAAAAAUUGAAGAUUGGAUUGCCGGGGUUGAUGAUGGUUCCAUAUACGAUUGAAUGAAUUUACAACAUUUUGAAUCUGUUAUUGAUAUCAUUUUUGUUUAUUUUGUUAAGUUAUAAAAAGAGCAUUAUAUAAUUGCAUACUAUUAUUCUGUUUUCUUGCUUGUAUUGUUAAAAAUGCUGUAUAUAUUGAGAAAUUGAGUUUGUGAUGGGUGUAUAUUCUACAUGUUUGAAUAAAAUUGUAGUUUUAUAUUUUUAACUAUAAA
This is a long non-coding RNA of Dalotia coriaria, 873 nucleotides long. RefSeq lists it as uncharacterized. The record is from RefSeq and is a predicted model, not a curated record. NCBI's taxonomy places the organism in Eukaryota, Metazoa, Arthropoda, Insecta, Coleoptera, Staphylinidae. The transcript is spliced from 4 exons.